RNAcentral lists this ribosomal RNA (250 nucleotides) under uncultured bacterium. RNAcentral describes it as "partial 16S ribosomal RNA". It matches the Rfam family "Bacterial small subunit ribosomal RNA", at positions 524 to 774 of the family's 1533-position model. The record is from RNAcentral.
UACGUAGGGGGCAAGCGUUAUCCGGAAUCACUGGGCGUAAAGGGUGCGUAGGCGGCCUGACAAGUCAGAGGUGAAAGGCUACGGCUUAACCGUAGUAAGCCUUUGAAACUGUCAGACUUGAGUUAAGGAGAGGAAAGUGGAAUUCCUAGUGUAGCGGUGAAAUGCGUAGAUAUUGGGAGGAAUACCAGUGGCGAAGGCGAUCUGCUGGAACUCAACUGACGCUGAGGCACGAAAGCGUGGGGAGCAAACA